This 490-nucleotide ribosomal RNA is filed under the name uncultured bacterium. RNAcentral describes it as "partial 16S ribosomal RNA". It matches the Rfam family "Bacterial small subunit ribosomal RNA", at positions 30 to 507 of the family's 1533-position model. The record is from RNAcentral.
AUUGAACGCUGGCGGCAGGCCUAACACAUGCAAGUCGAACGGUAACAGGAAUCAGCUUGCUGAUUUGCUGACGAGUGGCGGACGGGUGAGUAAUGUCUGGGAAACUGCCUGAUGGAGGGGGAUAACUACUGGAAACGGUAGCUAAUACCGCAUAACGUCGCAAGACCAAAGAGGGGGACCUUCGGGCCUCUUGCCAUCGGAUGUGCCCAGAUGGGAUUAGCUAGUAGGUGGGGUAAAGGCUCACCUAGGCGACGAUCCCUAGCUGGUCUGAGAGGAUGACAAGCCACAAUGGAACUGAGACACGGUCCAGACUCCUACGGGAGGCAGCAGUGGGGAAUAUUGCACAAUGGGCGCAAGCCUGAUGCAGCCAUGCCGCGUGUAUGAAGAAGGCCUUCGGGUUGUAAAGUACUUUCAGCGGGGAGGAAGGGAGUAAAGUUAAUACCUUUGCUCAUUGACGUUACCCGCAGAAGAAGCACCGGCUAACUCCGUG